Molecule: ribosomal RNA, 123 nt
Filed under: Domibacillus aminovorans
Lineage: Bacteria; Bacillati; Bacillota; Bacilli; Caryophanales; Bacillaceae
Description: partial 23S ribosomal RNA
Rfam family: Bacterial large subunit ribosomal RNA
Source: RNAcentral
AUGAGAUUUCCCAUUACGUAAGUAAGUAAGAUCCCUUGAAGAUGACGAGGUAGAUAGGUUCGGGGUGGAAGUGUGGCGAGACAUGGAGCUGACGAAUACUAAUCGAUCGAGGACUUAACCAAU